CCGGCCUGGACAGUGGGCCGGUGCGUGAUCGUGGGCUCUUGAUCUCCGCGUCUUGAGGAAAGAGGGCCACGGGGUCUGCAUUGGCCCAGGAGGGCUGGAAACCAGGGAGAAGCUGAGGCGAUUCCAUCAGGCUUGGCAAGAGCCGCUGGGGCCUUUGGAGGUGGCCCUAGGAGACGAAAGCACCGGUGUGAGAUAUGCGCAUGCGCAUGACCGCCUAUGUCGGUAUGUUGACUAGACCCACUGAGUCAUGGCAGCCAGAGCAGGGGUGCCAACCUGAGUGACACAGAUCCCAAGACUACGAGGUCAUCUGGGUGGUUCUGUUGGUCUGGACCAGGCUUUGUUGAUCUCAGCUGGACUCAUGCAGGCGUCCAAAACAGCUGUGGGUCAGAUGACUUCAAUUCAGGGCCCCACCAAGAAAGCUGGAGGUUUUUUACCUCUGUCGUUGCAUCAUCCACACAGAAUCCCAGAACACAGUACGCCUUCAGGAUUUGUGCCCCAGCAGCAAGGCAGGGAUGGGAGCUGUGAGUAGGAACCUGAGAGCCACCAGGUUCCUACUUUGCCAUGUGGAAGAGGCCAUCCCUGGCUGGAGGUAGCCAUCCAUCCAUGUGGGAAGAAGCAAUGGAGGUCACCUUUAGAGGGAGGCACAACUAUGAAGAGAAGAAAAGCACAGUGAUAUUUUUGGAUCUGUGGAAGCCAGUUUUAUCCCAAAGGUUGGUGUAACAUGAACCAAUAAUAAUAAUUACUAUUAUCAUUAUUUUUGCUGAAACUCAUUUGAAUUGAGCUUCUCUUACUUGCAACUAAUAAA
Long non-coding RNA from Otolemur garnettii (small-eared galago), 805 nucleotides. RefSeq lists it as uncharacterized. The transcript has 5 exons. NCBI's taxonomy places the organism in Eukaryota, Metazoa, Chordata, Mammalia, Primates, Galagidae. The record is from RefSeq and is a predicted model, not a curated record.